AGGAUGAACGCUGGCGGCGUGCCUAACACAUGCAAGUCGAACGUCCUGUCUCGCAAGAGGCAGGGAGUGGCGGACGGGUGAGUACCACGUGGGUCAUCUACCGUGAGGUGAGGAAUACCGGCGAGAAAUCGCCGACAAGACCGCAUAGGCUCGAUGCAAGUCGAGCAAAGCUCUCUCGAGAGAGGGAGCGCCACACGAGGAGCCUGCGCCCGAUUAGCUAGCUGGUGGAGUAAUGGUUCACCAGGGCGACGAUCGGUAGCUGGUCUGAGAGGACGAUCAGCCACACUGGGAUUGAGAACGGCCCAGACUCCGUACGGGGGCAGCAGUGAGGAAUUUUCGUCAAUGGGGGCAACCCUGAACGAGCAACGCCGCGUGCAGGAAGAAGGUUUUCGGAUCGUAAACUGCUUUUCGCGGGGAAGAGGAACGGACGGUACCCGAGGAAUCGACGCCCCGGCUAACGUACGCGCCAGCAGCCGCGGU
Molecule: ribosomal RNA, 480 nt
Filed under: uncultured bacterium
Lineage: Bacteria
Description: SSU rRNA
Rfam family: Bacterial small subunit ribosomal RNA
Source: RNAcentral